AUGACCAGUGAUGAUGACUGGAAGCUUGGCAGUCAAGGAUGAAGAAAAUGUGUCUGAAACUGGGAGUUCCUG
This 72-nucleotide small nucleolar RNA is filed under the name Neogale vison (American mink). Its description in RNAcentral is "Neovison vison (American mink) Small nucleolar RNA SNORD113/SNORD114 family (ENSNVIG00000009517.1)". Lineage: Eukaryota; Metazoa; Chordata; Mammalia; Carnivora; Mustelidae. The record is from RNAcentral.